This is a long non-coding RNA of Rhineura floridana, 2394 nucleotides long. RefSeq lists it as uncharacterized. The record is from RefSeq and is a predicted model, not a curated record. NCBI's taxonomy places the organism in Eukaryota, Metazoa, Chordata, Lepidosauria, Squamata, Rhineuridae. The transcript is spliced from 3 exons.
CUCGACAGCUCGCCAUCCACGAGCGGAAACCUCUCUCGGCCCUGGGAAGCCCAGCGCUCCUCACCUUCCUGGAGGCGCAGCGGCUACAACUACAGCUGAGGCCAAGCGCGUCCCCCCCCCAAAGCCCGGGGCCGGGGGCAACUGCCCCGCUUCCCGGUGCCUUAGGGCGGCUCUGCUUUUUUGCACAAGUUAGGGGGGAAAGAAAAAAAAGCACCAUUUGUAGCAGGCUUGCAGAAUGAGAGCCAGCAGGAAAUGACAUAACAAAGGGAGGAAAAGGGAGCUCCCCUCCUUUGGCUCCCGGGCCCCCUUUUUGACCCCGGACCCAGCUGCCCAAAUGAUCCCUGUGUACCUCUUUCCAUUGAUGGCCACAUGCUGAAGGCGCUUCUGAAAUUCAGCAAACCAGUUCAGAUCCCUACACUGUACAUGCAGGGGAUUAUCUCACAGACUGGUAUUGCAGCACAUGCAUUGUGAGCUAAACAACAACAAACUAAUGCAGAGUUCUUGCACAAGACUUCUCUUGGAAUUAUAAUAGUAAUGGAUGUUGUACACACACCCCCUCAAAAGAAAGCACAAGCCUCCAUUUUGCUGACCGCUUUUUGACCCAAAGGCCUCUACAGUAGUGAACAGCGUCAUGGUGCACUGAUCUCCCCACAUAAAACAAAUUCACGCACAGGCGUCUUCCAUAACAAAAGUCCCAUGGCGAUUGGCAAAUGGCGACAGGGGCAGGACUGUGAAAUCCAGAAGCCCCUAGUCAUGGUCUGGUACAUCGGCGGUGGAUACAGAUUCAGACGGAUCCAUUGUUAAAGACUAUAUUUUGGAAGACAAUCUUACUCGGUCACGACUCACGAGUGAUCACCAAGAAUGCAAAAUAAAUAUUAUACAAUAAAAGUACAAUAAAUACAAUGAAUCAAUCAAAACAAUAUAAAACAGAAAAAUCACAAAAUACACUGGAUGUGUUUGUGAGCUGCAUUCAUGCUCUCAUCACAGCAGCAGCUCCCCAGCAUUCCAUCUCUCACUUGGAAGCUGGGUAGCCUCACCUCUCCCUCUAUUCUUCACUUAGAAGCAAGCCCAUCCACAAUCAAUCACCCAUAGGGGAGGGCCCUUGCCCUUGGCACACAACAAAGGAGUGAUCCAAAGGAGUAACUCACCCUUUGGGGUGGCCCCACUGGGGUUGACCCACCAAUGGCAACCUGCCACAAACAGUGUCCUCCAGAUAAACACACUUGCCUCCUGAAAACCAGCUAUAGCUGUGGUAUGUUCUUUCUCUUCAUGGGUGGGAUUAGCUGAUUAGAGACUGAGGGGAAGGACCAGAAAACACAGCAGGGAAACAUUUCAUCAACCCCCCUCCCAGCUGGACUGGAAUCAGCAGAACGCCUAUGAAAUGUGUAGCCGCUCUCAUGUCAAUUGCACACACAGAAAAACCACAUCUGAAUGACCCGUUUGUGGUAUUCAUCACCCAUCUGGAAGGGCCCCGGGUCCACCAAAGAAGCAUAACUCACCUGUAUCACUCUCUACCCAUCCUUGCAAUUUCUCUGGCACAAAAAUGACAGUCAAACCAACAUACACUUGUAGAAGAGAAAGGUCCAAGGAAACCAUUCAGUUCCUGGGUAAGAAGAAUGUGAGGCAUCACCCUCAGCUCUCCCCAUCCUGUUCAACAGCAUCUCUCUCCAUCUCUGGCACUGCCUUUAGACAACAGAAACUGAGCCAGGGAUGGUCUGCAUGGCAUAACGUAGAAAGCCUUGCUGAUUACAGUUCUGUGUGUCGUCUUCCUAUUCAAAAUAAAGAAGCAAGGCCACUGAAAAAGAGGUAGUAGUGGAAUGGCAGCCCACGGAAUCAGCCCUCAACCUGCCCUAGGAGCACACGAAGCGGCCUUAUACUGAAGGCAGAAACACACUUGCGCUUAAAAGGUUUGCCGUGCAUUUCUAUGCAUCUCCAACUCUGUAUUUUGAAAACGGGAGCACACAAUGUUCGUCAACCAUGCCCAUGUGUAACCGGCAAUCUGUGAUUUUGGAUGCGUAUUUUCGUGAACUCUGCUUCAAAACGAUUGCAAAACUGUUUGGUGGAUUAAUCCAUAGCAUUCUGUUGUGUGUUUAGUGCAAACGCAUUGCUCUGGGUGGUCCACAAUGGUCUGACAUCAGCAGUUGGGCAGUGUGGACCACAUCAUGCGACCUGCAGCAACCUUCUACCUGUUUACCUGCUUCAUUUCACUUCCGGUCUUCUAGCUGCUUCUCCCGGGUUUUUUAUAUUCUCUCUCUCCACCUUUACCAUCUUCCUUGGCCCAAUGGAUGCAGCGAAGAAAAUAAAGUGUUCAGCCUUGCCGGUGCUGACGGUGUUUUCAAUUUUUUGAUGUGGUUUUUUUUUUUGCAUGUGUAUUGCAUAAUAUUCUGCUUUUGA